AAUAAGGUGCCUGAUUAAAGGGUUAUCUUGAUAGGAUAAAUAAAGUAGGCUAUUCCUACCCUUG
RNAcentral lists this transfer RNA (64 nucleotides) under Siphlonurus aestivalis. RNAcentral's name for it is "tRNA-Ile". Lineage: Eukaryota; Metazoa; Arthropoda; Insecta; Ephemeroptera; Siphlonuridae. The record is from RNAcentral.